RNAcentral lists this ribosomal RNA (524 nucleotides) under uncultured bacterium. Its description in RNAcentral is "partial 16S ribosomal RNA". It matches the Rfam family "Bacterial small subunit ribosomal RNA", at positions 28 to 523 of the family's 1533-position model. The record is from RNAcentral.
GACGAACGCUGGCGGCGUGCUUAACACAUGCAAGUCGAACGGGCAGACAGAGAGCUUGCUCUCUUGAAGUUAGUGGCGAACGGGUGAGUAACGCGUAAUCAACCUGCCCUUCAGAGGGGGAUAACAACGGGAAACCGUUGCUAAUACCGCGUACGAUUAAUGAACGGCAUCGUUUAUGAAUGAAAGGUGGCCUCUAUGUAUAAGCUAUCGCUGAAGGAGGGGAUUGCGUCUGAUUAGCUAGUUGGAGGGGUAACGGCCCACCAAGGCAAUGAACGGGAGCCGUUCUUGUAGGAUGAAAGGACACAUGGGGACUGAGACACGGCCCAAACUCCUAAGGGAGGCAGCAGUGGGGAAUCUUCCGCAAUGGACGAAAGUCUGACGGAGCAACGCCGGGUGAGUGAUGAAGGCCUUCGGAUUGUAAAGCUCUGUUAAUCGGGACGAAAGAGUUCUGCGUGAAUAAUGCAGAAAAGUGACGGUACCGGAAUAGAAAGCCACGGCUAACUACGUGCCAGCCGCCGCCGUAA